CCUACGGGUGGCUGCAGUGGGGAAUAUUGCACAAUGGGCGCAAGCCUGAUGCAGCCAUGCCGCGUGUGUGAAGAAGACCUUCGGGUUGUAAAGCACUUUCAGCGGGGAGGAAGGCGUUAAGGUUAAUAACCUUGUCGAUUGACGUUACCCGCAGAAGAAGCACCGGCUAACUCCGUGCCAGCAGCCGCGGCAAUACGGAGGGUGCGAGCGUUAAUCGGAAUUACUGGGCGUAAAGCGCACGCAGGCGGUCUGUCAAGUCGGAUGUGAAAUCCCCGGGCUCAACCUGGGAACUGCAUUCGAAACUGGCAGGCUAGAGUCUUGUAGAGGGGGGUAGAAUUCCAGGUGUAGCGGUGAAAUGCGUAGAGAUCUGGAGGAAUACCGGUGGCGAAGGCGGCCCCCUGGACAAAGACUGACGCUCAGGUGCGAAAGCGUGGGGAGCAAACAGGAUUAGAUACCCCUGUAGUC
RNAcentral lists this ribosomal RNA (465 nucleotides) under uncultured Klebsiella sp. Its description in RNAcentral is "bacterial SSU rRNA". It matches the Rfam family "Bacterial small subunit ribosomal RNA", at positions 338 to 795 of the family's 1533-position model. Lineage: Bacteria; Pseudomonadati; Pseudomonadota; Gammaproteobacteria; Enterobacterales; Enterobacteriaceae. The record is from RNAcentral.